RNAcentral lists this ribosomal RNA (433 nucleotides) under uncultured bacterium. RNAcentral describes it as "bacterial SSU rRNA". It matches the Rfam family "Bacterial small subunit ribosomal RNA", at positions 355 to 796 of the family's 1533-position model. The record is from RNAcentral.
UCGAGGAUCUUCGGCAAUGGGCGCAAGCCUGACCGAGCGACGCCGCGUGUGCGAUGAAGGCCUUCGGGUUGUAAAGCACUUUCGGAGGGAAGGAAAGCCGCAAGGUCUGACUAACCCUAAGAAGAAGCACGGGCUAAGUUCGUGCCAGCAGCCGCGGUAAGACGAACCGUGCGAACGUUGUUCGGAAUCACUGGGCUUAAAGGGCGCGUAGGCGGGCUGCUAAGUCCGGGGUGAAAGCCCUCCGCUCAACGGGGGAAUGGCCUUGGAUACUGGCGGUCUUGAGGAAGACAGGGGCAGAUGGAACUCUCGGUGGAGCGGUGAAAUGCGUAGAUAUCGGGAGGAACGCCGGUGGCGAAAGCGAUCUGCUGGAUCUUUUCUGACGCUGAGGCGCGAAAGCCAGGGUAGCGAACGGGAUUAGAUACCCCCGUAGUCC